RNAcentral lists this ribosomal RNA (433 nucleotides) under uncultured bacterium. Its description in RNAcentral is "partial 16S ribosomal RNA". It matches the Rfam family "Bacterial small subunit ribosomal RNA", at positions 29 to 507 of the family's 1533-position model. The record is from RNAcentral.
AGCGAACGCUGGCGGCAGGCCUAACACAUGCAAGUCGAACGAACUCUUCGGAGUUAGUGGCGGACGGGUGAGUAACACGUGGGAACGUGCCUUUUGGUUCGGAAUAACUCAGGGAAACUUGUGCUAAUACCGAAUGUGCCCUUCGGGGGAAAGAUUUAUCGCCAUUAGAGCGGCCCGCGUCUGAUUAGCUAGUUGGUGAGGUAACGGCUCACCAAGGCGACGAUCAGUAGCUGGCCUGUGAGGAUGACCAGCCACACUGGGACUGAGACACGGCCCAGACUCCUACGGGAGGCAGCAGUGGGGAAUCUUGCGCAAUGGGCGAAAGCCUGACGCAGCCAUGCCGCGUGAAUGAUGAAGGUCUUAGGAUUGUAAAAUUCUUUCACCGGGGACGAUAAUGACGGUACCCGGAGAAGAAGCCCCGGCUAACUUCGUG